AUUCUGCUGACGAGUCCCAAAUGGGACGAAACGCGCGUUCUGGAU
This 45-nucleotide non-coding RNA is filed under the name Schistosoma margrebowiei. The record is from RNAcentral. Lineage: Eukaryota; Metazoa; Platyhelminthes; Trematoda; Strigeidida; Schistosomatidae.